Molecule: RNase P RNA, 375 nt
Filed under: Deltaproteobacteria bacterium
Lineage: Bacteria; Pseudomonadati; Myxococcota; Myxococcia
Description: RNase P RNA component class A
Rfam family: Bacterial RNase P class A
About the family: Ribonuclease P (RNase P) is a ubiquitous endoribonuclease, found in archaea, bacteria and eukarya as well as chloroplasts and mitochondria. Its best characterised activity is the generation of mature 5'-ends of tRNAs by cleaving the 5'-leader elements of precursor-tRNAs.
Source: RNAcentral
UGAGAAGGGCAGGCGGCCGCUGAAGGAAUACCCUUCAGAGGAAAGUCCGAGCUCCACAGGGCAGGAUGCUGGGUAACACCCAGUGGGGGUGACCUCAGGAAAGUGCCACAGAAAACAGACCGCCGGCACGAUGCCGGUAAGGGUGAAAAGGUGAGGUAAGAGCUCACCGCAUCCCGGGUGACCGGGAUGGCACGGCAAACCCCAUCUGGAGCAAGAUCAAAUAGGAGAGCGCUCCCUCUUGAGGGAAAAGGAUGGCCCGUCCGAUGCUCUCGGGUCAGAUCGCACGAGGCCGGCAGGCAACUCCGGUCCCAGAGUAAUGGUCGCCGACAUGAGCAUUUUUCAUGUACAGAACUCGGCUUAUGCCCUUCUCAGGCA